This 460-nucleotide ribosomal RNA is filed under the name uncultured bacterium. Its description in RNAcentral is "partial 16S ribosomal RNA". It matches the Rfam family "Bacterial small subunit ribosomal RNA", at positions 338 to 795 of the family's 1533-position model. The record is from RNAcentral.
CCUACGGGAGGCUGCAGUGAGGAAUAUUGGUCAAUGGACGAGAGUCUGAACCAGCCACGUAGCGUGAAGGAUGACUGCCCUCUGGGUUGUAAGCUUCUUUUAUAUGGGAAUAAAACGUUCCACGUGUGGGAUUUUGUAUGUACCAUAUGAUUAAGGAUCGGCUAACUCCGUGCCAGCAGCCGCGGUAAUACGGAGGAUCCGAGCGUUAUCCGGAUUUAGUGGGUGUAAAGGGAGCGUAGGUGGAUUGUUAAGUCAGGUGUGAAAGUUUGGGGCUCAACCGUAAGAGUGCAGUUGAAACUGGCAGUCUUGAGUACAGUAGAGGUGGGCGGAAUUCGUGGUGUAGCGGUGAAAUGCUUAGAUAUCACGAAGAACUCCGAUGGCGAAGGCAGUUCACUGGACUGCAACUGACACUGAGGCUCGAAAGUGUGGGUAGCAAACAGGAUUAGAUACCCGUGUAGUC